This 2235-nucleotide ribosomal RNA is filed under the name human gut metagenome. RNAcentral describes it as "bacterial LSU rRNA". It matches the Rfam family "Bacterial large subunit ribosomal RNA", at positions 14 to 2244 of the family's 2925-position model. The record is from RNAcentral.
AGGGCACACAAGGGAUGCCUAGGUAGUGAGAGCCGAAGAAGGACGUGGUAAGCUGCGAUAAGCUUGGUGAAGUUGCAAACGAACUGUGAUACCAAGAUUUCCGAAUGGAGCAAUCUGUAAAGAGUCAUGUCUUUACACGAAAGAGGGAACCGGGUGAACUGAAACAUCUAAGUAACCCGAGGAAAAGAAAGUAACAACGAUACCCUAAGUAGCGGCGAGCGAACGGGGUAGAGCCUAAACCAUAUUCAUGUCAAGGAUGUAGCCGUUGUGGAUAUGGGGUAGCGGGAAAGAGAAUGGAAGAACUGCAAGAUAUUCCGCAGAGUCAAGCAAAAGAACAAGAAAGAUCUGGAAAGGUCUACCGAAGAAGGUGAAAGUCCUGUAUUGGUACAUUGCUUGCGCUGUUUCUCUUCUCCCAAGUAAUGUGGAACACGAGGAAUUCUGCAUGAAUCAGCGAGGACCAAAUCUCGUAAGGCUAAAUACUCUUACUAACCGAUAGCGCAUAGUACCGUGAGGGAAAGGUGAAAAGAACCCCGGGAGGGGAGUGAAAUAGAACCUGAAAUUGUGUGCUUACAAGCGGUCAGAGCCACUUCGGUGGUGAUGGCGUGCCUUUUGGAGAAUGAUCCUGCGAGUUACGUUUCAUGGCGAGGUUAAGAAGAACGGAGCCGAAGGGAAACCGAGUCUGAAUAGGGCGCAAUAGUCGUGGAGCGUAGACGCGAAACCUGGUGAUCUAAGCCUGUCCAGGAUGAAGCUGUGGUAAGACACAGUGGAGGUCCUAACCCACCGCCGUUGAAAAGUUGGGGGAUGAGGUAGGUUUAGGGGUGAAAAGCCAAUCGAACUAGGAGAUAGCUCGUUCUCUCCGAAAUGCAUCUAGGUGCAGCCUUGCGUGUUUAAUGAUGGGGGUAGAGCACUGACUGAACUAGGGGGCAUAUUGCUUACUGAAUUCAAUCAAACUCCGAAUACCAUUAUUCAAGAGCGCAGGAGUGAGACCAUGGGAGUUAACUUCCAUCGUCGAAAGGGAAACAACCCAGACCACCAGCUAAGGUCCCAAAUCAUAUCUAAGUGGGAAAGGAGGUGGAGAUUCUUAAACAACUAGGAGGUUGGCUUAGAAGCAGCCAUACCUUGAAAGAGUGCGUAAUAGCUCACUAGUCGAGAGUCUCUGCGCCGACAAUGUAACGGGGCUAAGAUAUGAACCGAAGCUGUGGAUGUCGUAAGACAUGGUAGGAGAGCGUUCUGUAGGCCGUUGAAGGAGAACUGAAAGGAACUCUGGAGGUAUCAGAAGUGAGAAUGCAGGAAUAAGUAGCGAGAAGGGGAGUGAGAAUCUCCCCCGCUGGAAGACCAAGGUUUUCAGGGUAAAGCUUGUCUUCCCUGAGUAAGCCGGGACCUAAGCCCAGGCUAGAAUGCGUAGGCGAAUGGAAAACAGACGAAUAUUUCUGUGCCAGUUCUACUUUGUGAAGGAGGGACGCAGAAGGGUAUGCGCGCGGACGAACGGAAGUGUCCGUAGAAGCAUGUAGAGUGACUUGGUAGGCAAAUCCGCCAGGUUAGACUUGAGGUGUGACAUAGAAUCGUAAGAGGAAUGCGCAAAUCCCACGCUGCCGAGAAAAGCUUCUAACGUUAAAGUAGAGACUGCCCGUACUGGAAACCGACACAGGUGGUCAGGAUGAGAAAUCUAAAGCGGACAGGCUAACUCUCGUUAAGGAACUCUGCAAAAUGGCCCCGUAACUUCGGGAGAAGGGGUGCCUCUUAGCGUUCGUAUUCACGCAAUACAAAGCGCCGAGAGGUCGCAGUGAAGAGGCUCAAGCAACUGUUUAACAAAAACACAGGUCUAUGCGAAGCUGUAAGGCGAUGUAUAUGGGCUGACACCUGCCCAGUGCCGGAAGGUUAAGAGGAGGAGUGAGAGCUCCGAAUUGAAGCCCCGGUGAACGGCGGCCGUAACUAUAACGGUCCUAAGGUAGCGAAAUUCCUUGUCGGGUAAGUUCCGACCUGCACGAAUGGUGUAAUGAUUUGAGCGCUGUCUUGACGGGAGGCCUGGUGAAAUUGUAUUACCGGUGAAGAUACCGGUUACCUACAGUAGGACGGAAAGACCCCAUGGAGCUUUACUGUAGCUUGGUAUUGGGUUUUGGCAUGGCAUGUAUAGGAUAGUUGGGAGACUGGGAAGGUAUGGCGCUAGCUGUACCGGAGUCACUGGUGGAAUACCAACCAUUCCCUGCUGAAAUUCUAAUCUGUGGUUUGUCGCCA